AGCUUUGCGCAGUGGCAGUAUCGUAGCCAAUGAGGUUUAUCCGAGGCGCGAUUAUUGCUAAUUGAAAAUAUUUUAAAGAAAUAAUAAUGAAUAUAUGAUAAUGAACCCAGUCUGAAUUUUAUUCAUCUUUAAAUUCAUGCAGGCAUAAAUAAAUU
RNAcentral lists this small nuclear RNA (155 nucleotides) under Canis lupus familiaris (dog). RNAcentral describes it as "U4 spliceosomal RNA (multiple genes)". It matches the Rfam family "U4 spliceosomal RNA". Rfam says of the family: U4 small nuclear RNA (U4 snRNA) is a component of the major U2-dependent spliceosome. The structure of U4 snRNA from yeast and human has been reported. RNAcentral also lists the same sequence under 1 other name. Lineage: Eukaryota; Metazoa; Chordata; Mammalia; Carnivora; Canidae. The record is from Rfam by way of RNAcentral.